AGUGAACGCUGGCGGUAGGCCUAACACAUGCAAGUCGAACGGCAGCACAGUAAGAGCUUGCUCUUACGGGUGGCGAGUGGCGGACGGGUGAGGAAUACAUCGGAAUCUACUUUUUCGUGGGGGAUAACGUAGGGAAACUUACGCUAAUACCGCAUACGACCUACGGGUGAAAGCAGGGGAUCUUCGGACCUUGCGCGAUUGAAUGAGCCGAUGUCGGAUUAGCUAGUUGGCGGGGUAAAGGCCCACCAAGGCGACGAUCCGUAGCUGGUCUGAGAGGAUGAUCAGCCACACUGGAACUGAGACACGGUCCAGACUACUACGGGAGGCAGCAGUGGGGAAUAUUGGACAAUGGGCGCAAGCCUGAUCCAGCCAUACCGCGUGGGUGAAGAAGGCCUUCGGGUUGUAAAGCCCUUUUGUUGGGAAAGAAAAGCAGCAGGUUAAUACCCCGCUGUUCUGACGGUACCCAAAGAGUAAGCACCGGCUAACUUCGUG
Molecule: ribosomal RNA, 492 nt
Filed under: uncultured bacterium
Lineage: Bacteria
Description: partial 16S ribosomal RNA
Rfam family: Bacterial small subunit ribosomal RNA
Source: RNAcentral